RNAcentral lists this ribosomal RNA (549 nucleotides) under uncultured bacterium. RNAcentral describes it as "bacterial SSU rRNA". It matches the Rfam family "Bacterial small subunit ribosomal RNA", at positions 355 to 896 of the family's 1533-position model. The record is from RNAcentral.
UGGGGAAUAUUGCACAAUGGGCGCAAGCCUGAUGCAGCCAUGCCGCGUGUGUGAAGAAGGCCUUCGGGUUGUAAAGCACUUUCAGCGGGGAGGAAGGCGUUAAGGUUAAUAACCUUGGCGAUUGACGUUACCCGCAGAAGAAGCACCGGCUAACUCCGUGCCAGCAGCCGCGGCAAUACGGAGGGUGCAAGCGUUAAUCGGAAUUACUGGGCGUAAAGCGCACGCAGGCGGUCUGUCAAGUCGGAUGUGAAAUCCCCGGGCUCAACCUGGGAACUGCAUUCGAAACUGGCAGGCUAGAGUCUUGUAGAGGGGGGUAGAAUUCCAGGUGUAGCGGUGAAAUGCGUAGAGAUCUGGAGGAAUACCGGUGGCGAAGGCGGCCCCCUGGACAAAGACUGACGCUCAGGUGCGAAAGCGUGGGGAGCAAACAGGAUUAGAUACCCUGGUAGUCCACGCCGCAAACGAUGUCGAUUUGGAGGUUGUGCCCUUGAGGCGUGGCUUCCGGAGCUAACGCGUUAAAUCGACCGCCUGGGGAGUACGGCCGCAAGGUUA